This is a ribosomal RNA of 824 nucleotides. The stretch from base 352 to 505 matches the Rfam family "5.8S ribosomal RNA".
UCCGUAGGUGAACCUGCGGAAGAAUCAUUACCGAGUCGAACUGGCUUUGGUUUAAUCAGGCUCUGAAAAAACAGUCCCUUCGGGCUCCCGCUCGUCGUUUCUGGGCACCCACCGCCGCGUCGAACUGUUUGGGUCGGGUGCUCGCGCGCCCUUCCCGCUUUAUUUAAAUCUUUUGUCAUUGUAUGUGUAUAGGGCCCGAGACGAAAGCCACGCCGCCUCGCUGUCAGCCGUCAGGGCGAAGCAGGUGCGCAGGGCCGGUAGCGAAGGCCUGGGGCUUAGCGAACGUCCACAUCCCAACCCUUCGGGGCGGCAGGGCACAGUAGCGACGCCUUGAAUUUAUUAAAGAAAUAUAACUUUCAACAACGGAUCUCUUGGCUCUCGCGUCGAUGAAGAACGCAGCGAAAUGCGAUACGUAAUGUGAAUUGCAGAACUAUGUGAAUCAUCGAAUCUUUGAACGCAUCUUGCGCCCUUUGGCAUUCCUUAGGGCAUGUCUGUCUGAGUGUCGUUUAAUUCUCAAACCCGCCCUUUGGCCUCCGGGCCCUCGGGCGGCCCGCUUCGGCGCGGCUAGGUUUGGUUCGUGAGCGUCAGCCGGCUUUGCUCGGCUCGCUUCAAACUCGUAGGCGAUACGUGGCUGCUGCACAGUAGCGCCUCUCGCUCGCUGGCCUGAUAGUAAAAUUGAACGGUCGGUGGGCUCGGGGAGCGAACGCGGCCUUGCCUUUCGCUGUGAAAAAAAAACACACGCGCGACCUCGGUUGCUCAAAUCAUUUUGACCUCAGAUCAGGCAGGACUACCCGCUGAACUUAAGCAUAUCAAUAAGCGGAGGA